AACGGAAAGGCCCUGCUUGCAGGGUACUCGAGUGGCGAACGGGUGAGUAACACGUGGGUGAUCUGCCCUGCACUUCGGGAUAAGCCUGGGAAACUGGGUCUAAUACCGGAUAGGAGCCAUUUUUAGUGUGAUGGUUGGAAAGUUUUUUCGGUGUAGGAUGAGCUCGCGGCCUAUCAGCUUGUUGGUGGGGUAAUGGCCUACCAAGGCGGCGACGGGUAGCCGGCCUGAGAGGGUGGACGGCCACAUUGGGACUGAGAUACGGCCCAGACUCCUACGGGAGGCAGCAGUGGGGAAUAUUGCACAAUGGGCGCAAGCCUGAUGCAGCGACGCCGCGUGGGGGAUGACGGCCUUCGGGUUGUAAACUCCUUUCGCCAGGGACGAAGCUUUUUGUGACGGUACCUAGAUAAGAAGCACCGGCUAACUACGUGCCAGCAGCCGCGGUAAUACGUAGGGUGCGAGCGUUGUCCGGAAUUACUGGGCGUAAAGGGCUCGUAGGUGGUUUGUCGCGUCGUCUGUGAAAUUCCGGGGCUUAACUCCGGGCGUGCAGGCGAUACGGGCAUAACUUGAGUACUGUAGGGGUAACUGGAAUUCCUGGUGUAGCGGUGAAAUGCGCAGAUAUCAGGAGGAACACCGAUGGCGAAGGCAGGUUACUGGGCAGUUACUGACGCUGAGGAGCGAAAGCAUGGG
This 687-nucleotide ribosomal RNA is filed under the name uncultured Actinomycetales bacterium. Its description in RNAcentral is "bacterial SSU rRNA". It matches the Rfam family "Bacterial small subunit ribosomal RNA", at positions 65 to 765 of the family's 1533-position model. Lineage: Bacteria; Bacillati; Actinomycetota; Actinomycetes; Actinomycetales. The record is from RNAcentral.